This is a non-coding RNA of Salmo salar (Atlantic salmon), 55 nucleotides long. NCBI's taxonomy places the organism in Eukaryota, Metazoa, Chordata, Actinopteri, Salmoniformes, Salmonidae. The record is from Rfam.
UGAAUGCACUAACUGUAAGUCGCUCUGGAUAAGAGCGUCUGCUAAAUUACUUAAA